UACGGCUCAGUAACACGUGGAUAACCUGCCCUAAGGAAGGGGAUAACCUCGGGAAACUGAGGAUAAUACCCUAUAGGUUACAGACGCUGGAAUGCCCUGUAACCGAAAGUUCCGGCGCCUUAGGAUGGAUCUGCGGCCGAUUAGGUUGUUGUUGGGGUAACGGCCCAACAAGCCGAUAAUCGGUACGGGUUGUGGGAGCAAGAGCCCGGAGUUGGAUUCUGAGACAUGAAUCCAGGCCCUACGGGGCGCAGCAGGCGCGAAAACUUUACAAUGCGGGAAACCGUGAUAAGGGAACCCCGAGUGCCUGUAUAUGCAGGCUGUCCAGGUGUCUAAAAAACACCUGAAGAAAGGGCCGGGCAAGACCGGUGCCAGCCGCCGCGGUAAUACCGGCGGCUCGAGUGGUGGCCACUUUUAUUGGGCUUAAAGCGUUCGUAGCUGGGUUGUUAAGUCUCUUGGGAAAUCUGACGGCUCAACCGUCAGGCGUCCAAGGGAUACUGGCAAUCUUGGAACCGGGAGAGGUGAGGGGUACUUCGGGGGUAGGAGUGAAAUCCUGUAAUCCUC
This 561-nucleotide ribosomal RNA is filed under the name Methanomicrobiaceae archaeon 22aZ. RNAcentral's name for it is "bacterial SSU rRNA". It matches the Rfam family "Archaeal small subunit ribosomal RNA", at positions 84 to 650 of the family's 1478-position model. The record is from RNAcentral. Lineage: Archaea; Methanobacteriati; Methanobacteriota; Methanomicrobia; Methanomicrobiales; Methanomicrobiaceae.